CCAGAGACUAGAGUCUCAUCUUGACAUGACUCGUUGUCUUGGUGUGCUAGAGUCCUCUCAGAGUGAAGACUGGUCCUAUUCACCGACUGGCUCUGUGUAGACCAGUCAGCCACAUGGACAGUUACACAC
Epinephelus moara (kelp grouper) is the source of this 129-nucleotide small nucleolar RNA. RefSeq annotates it as small nucleolar RNA SNORA3/SNORA45 family. The record is from RefSeq and is a predicted model, not a curated record. The transcript has a single exon. NCBI's taxonomy places the organism in Eukaryota, Metazoa, Chordata, Actinopteri, Perciformes, Serranidae.